RNAcentral lists this long non-coding RNA (211 nucleotides) under Lathyrus oleraceus (garden pea). Its description in RNAcentral is "Pisum sativum (pea) long non-coding RNA (PSAT_LNC032865)". The record is from RNAcentral. Lineage: Eukaryota; Viridiplantae; Streptophyta; Magnoliopsida; Fabales; Fabaceae.
GUGAAAGCGAAUGCCAUGUUGAUGACAUGAUGACAAAGUCCCAAGCAGAAGAGGGGCAUCCGGUGGAUCUGGGGCAAAUUGUUUGACCAGAUCGAAACUACUCAGACUGAGGUUGAGUCUGAAUCAGUGCACUUAUGGAGUGCUGUCCGGUGAGCUGCCGAGGCUUGUUGGGGGCAAAUCAGAGGAAUCGAGGACGAUCCUGUGAACAAAA